Molecule: ribosomal RNA, 949 nt
Filed under: uncultured bacterium
Lineage: Bacteria
Description: bacterial SSU rRNA
Rfam family: Bacterial small subunit ribosomal RNA
Source: RNAcentral
AGAGUUUGAUCCUGGCUCAGGACGAACGCUGGCGGCGUGCCUAAUACAUGCAAGUCGAGCGAGCUUGCCUAGAUGAUUUUAGUGCUUGCACUAAAUGAAACUAGAUACAAGCGAGCGGCGGACGGGUGAGUAACACGUGGGUAACCUGCCCAAGAGACUGGGAUAACACCUGGAAACAGAUGCUAAUACCGGAUAACAACACUAGACGCAUGUCUAGAGUUUGAAAGAUGGUUCUGCUAUCACUCUUGGAUGGACCUGCGGUGCAUUAGCUAGUUGGUAAGGUAAUGGCUUACCAAGGCGAUGAUGCAUAGCCGAGUUGAGAGACUGAUCGGCCACAUUGGGACUGAGACACGGCCCAAACUCCUACGGGAGGCAGCAGUAGGGAAUCUUCCACAAUGGACGAAAGUCUGAUGGAGCAACGCCGCGUGAGUGAAGAAGGGUUUCGGCUCGUAAAGCUCUGUUGGUAGUGAAGAAAGAUAGAGGUAGUAACUGGCCUUUAUUUGACGGUAAUUACUUAGAAAGUCACGGCUAACUACGUGCCAGCAGCCGCGGUAAUACGCAGGUGGCAAGCGUUGUCCGGAUUUAUUGGGCGUAAAGCGAGUGCAGGCGGUUCAAUAAGUCUGAUGUGAAAGCCUUCGGCUCAACCGGAGAAUUGCAUCAGAAACUGUUGAACUUGAGUGCAGAAGAGGAGAGUGGAACUCCAUGUGUAGCGGUGGAAUGCGUAGGUAUAUGGAAGAACACCAGUGGCGAAGGCGGCUCUCUGGUCUGCAACUGACGCUGAGGCUCGAAAGCAUGGGUAGCGAACAGGAUUAGAUACCCUGGUAGUCCAUGCCGUAAACGAUGAGUGCUAAGUGUUGGAGGGUUUCCGCCCUUCAGUGCUGCAGCUAACGCAUUAAGCACUCCGCCUGGGGAGUACGACCGCAAGGUUGAAACUCAAAGGAAUUGACUG